UCAUUUGAAAUUGGGAUUUCAGCACCAAAGUCAAAUUGCCUUCCUUCCUGAAAGAUGAGCAUUUUUUAUACUCUUACAUCGGCUUUUAUGGAAAUGAAAUCAGCUUCUCAUUCUGUUACAUAUUUCAAUUUUACUGCCUAUAACUGCUCACUGGCUGUUUGUGAGAGGUAUGGACCCAUGGGACAUUAUCCAGAUUUUCCCUGAUCAAUUAUAGAAAGGUCAUUGGACUCAUCCAUGAUUGGAAUUUCCUGUUAUCAUUAUUUGCAAAUCAUCAACCAUUUGUCAUGAUAUCUUAAGUUCAGCUGAGCAAGAUUUUCAGCUAAGAUCCUCAGAACUAGAAAUAUGCACUGCAGGUAUUACUUGAUAUGUGAAUAUCCAAUACGAUAUUUUUUUACUAAGAGGAAUACGAAUUUGAAACACUUUCCAAUAAUUUAUCAAGUCAUAUUUUUGUGUUGUCGUGAUACAUGUGUCUACUGUAUGCAUGGCUUUUCUUUUCUACACAUGCCUUUAUCUUUGCACAUGACUCUUUUGAUACACGCCAGCAUCAAGGCAAUUGCCUAAAUCUAAAUCACAUCCUUUGUGUCACGUCUUCCUUGUGUACCACGGUCCCUCUUGUACACCAUGGUCCCUUAAUGUAACUUGUGCCACAAGCCCUUUGUGCAUGAAUUCAAACUGUUCAAUCAUUUCGCCAUUUAUACCUUUUGAGGUCCAACAAGCGUAUACAAGAGACUACACUCAUUCUAGAUGAUGAAGUACAUUCUAAUGAAAGGAACCAUGUUGAAGACUCGUAUCCCUUUAUGUGUGAGAUUGAUUUUAUCUUUGUGUUUUGUACCAAGUAUGUUAGAAUUGAAGCUUUUGCCUACAUAAGUGGCAUGAAAGUUUUCACUAGCUCCAAAUCCCUAACACACACAACCUUGGCUUACUUCUUGAGCCGAUACAAAAAAUCAGAGCCUUAACUCAUCCCGACCCCUAUAAGAGGCCCUAGCCAUCACAUUGGAGCUUAACCAUCUUACAACACAUCCAUCAGAAUUUAGACUAUUCAUAGAAACAUUCUUAACAUGUAAAUCUACUAUUGCCAUGCACGUCAACAUAGAAUUUCUAAAAUUUUUGGAUAAAAUAAAUAAAACAAAAGAAACCCUCCCAAGAGAAUUUCAUAAUCUAAUGUCAAAUCUACUACGAAGAUGAACAUCAUAAAAUUUAAGGUUUAUAAUCAAAGUCGACUUGAAUCUGAGUUUUAAAACCAAUUUGCAGUUUUUAAGUUUGGAGACUAGAUCUCUUAAACCAAUUAAAUGUAAAAAACUACAAAGAAAACUUCAAUUUUUGAAAUGAAAAUGAGAAUGCAAUUCCUAACUAGUUUCUUCAUCAAAAAUCCCCAAAAAAAAAAAAAAAAAAAAGAGAGAGAGAGAGACCAUAGACGCCAGUGUUUGGGUUUAGAACCACCCAAGGGAGAGUAGUCCAAUAUAUGGGCUUAAGAAAAUCCUCAUGGGCUAAGACUAGGAACAAUCUUGUAUCCGUGGUUGGUUUAGUAUGAGCAUGUGUACUGCGAAGGAAGUAGCUGAGAAUUGCAAUGGAAUUUCCAGUAUUGCUUCCUGAACGAACAAAACGCAUACCCAAGACUUGGUCGUCAACGCCAUGCUGGGUGAGAACCGGGGAAGCAUCUUCGCUCGUUGACGAGCUUUUGUAGUCUUUCUUUAACAAUUAUAAGGCAUCUGAAUUCCCUUCAUCCUCCCACACCAUUGUUUUUGGUCUUAUUCUUGUUGCUUUGUGACUACGCAUCUCCAUGGAAGGAAGGAGGAUGAACCAAGUUCCUUUGUAUGCAUCAAUUUUACUGUUUUUUUUUUCCUUUUUAAUCUUUGGAUCGAAUCAUUGCUUAGUUCUUGCUUAAUUUCUCCAUUUUAUGGUGGGUCUUUGAUUGCAGGUUUAGCUCUGCGCGAGAACUGGGAAAUUUAAUUGUGACCUCCAAUCUAAUCGACUCUGCUUUGACUAAAAUUCUUGAGCUUCAAAGAGACCAAACAGCCUUGCCUUCCCCCGUUCAAUACAGAGUUUUUUAUCCAUCUCCCAAGUGCACAAUUGUAGCUUUUGUCUCUUCACCUGACUGCACUCAAAACCCUCUUCCUGGACAAGGAGAUUUAGUUCCCUCUCCUCUCUUUGACUUCCUCUGCACCGAAGAAUACCCUUCCGUCUCCAUUAACGGAGCCGCAUUAACCCUCUUUACCUCUCUCUACGAUCAUCUCUCUGGACUAAUAGAUGAGGUCAAAAUCUGAUACUUGUUUUAAUUUACGUUAACUUUUCGUUAACAAUUGUGAGACACGAAACAGCUUGACCAUGAGAUCUCCCUCAUGGAGUCAAAACCCGUGUUGGUAUCUGUUUUUAGAUCAACUUAUAUAUAUAUAUAUAUAUAUAUAUAUAUAUCUUGUGGAUAAAAGGAAAGUUUACAAGUGAGAAUAGUGGCAUUUUUCUGACAGAUUUCACACCGUUGCUUGUUUUGCAGUUGACUGUGAUUGAAGGUCGAUUAAUCAUCACUGGGCACUCGAUGGGAGGAUCCGUUGCUUCUCUCUUCACCUUAUGCCUGCUAGAAGUCAUUAAUAUAUCAAAACCCAAAUGCCGCCCCAUUUGCAUCACCUUUGGUUCACCCCUCAUAGGCGACUUUGGCCUCCAACACUCCAAUUGGAAUUCUUUCUUCUUGCAUGUAGUGUCCAACCAAGAUCUAGUCCCCGGACUCUUCCUCCCAUCCGGCAGAUCUCCUCCCACAUCCUCCCAUUCACAAACUACUGGUUACAAGCCCUUUGGGACAUAUCUCUUGUGCUCUGAACUUGGUUGUGCUUGUUUUGACAACCCUGAUUUAAUUUUGGAAUUGCUGAAAGUCAUAUCAUCAGAGGUUGCCGGAGGAUUGCGGGAUGUUGAUUACAGGAAGAUUUUAAUAAACCUCAAGGAGAGGGCAAUCUUCAAGGGACUUCAGCAGGUGGGUGAAAGGUUUGCAGAUCCCUUGUCAGCUGGGAUCGUCAUGGACCUUGAGAUAAUUGGAUUUGAUCAAACAAAGGUAAACAGCUUUCUCCCAAUUAAUGAUGUAGUAUGGUUUACACUCAACUUCACCAAAACCUGCAACAACUGCCCUAUUUAGAUUUGCCUUCCUGUUCUUUGGGUUCUUCUAUAACUUCUCAUUUUUUAAAUUCAUGGCAGCUGUUGCGGCACAACAUUGAUAUCAACACUGUGAUAAGGAUACUGGGAGUGGAAGCCAGAAUCCUAGCCCACAAAAAUAAAGCUUCUGAUGCCAAGAAACUGAAUGACAUAAAAAUACACAUGGCCCAGCUAGAAUGGUAUAAGAAGAAAUCAAAAGAUCUGAACAAGGGUUACUACGACUGCUUCAAAAACCAGGGGUCAAAAAGGGACAUUAAAAUUGAACAGUAUAGGGGACACCUCACAAUAUACUGGAAAGACAUGGUUGCACAAGUACAGAGGAAGCCCCAGAAGGAAGGAGCAUCAUUUCGAACCAGUUGGCUCUAUCCAGGGACAACUUAUAGAAGAAUGGUUGAACCACUGGACAUUGCUGCCUUCUACAGAGAGGGUAGAACAGACUACAUAAACAAUGGAAGAUCUCCUCAUUACAAGCUGUUGCAGCAAUGGUAUGAGGAAGAUGUGAAGCCCCCAUCCAGAGAUAAGCUCGAUUCCAAGAAACUAAAGGUGUCUGGUAUCCUAACUGAGGAUUCUUUGUUUUGGGCACAUGUGGAGGAGGCUCUCUUGUCAUGCGAAUCGCUCAAGAGUGCAAACUCUACUCUUGAGCAGAGAAAAUCAUCAUGGGAUAAUCUGGUUAAGUUUGGGGAGUAUGUAAUGGAACAGAUUGGAAACUAUGCAGUGUCCCCUGAGAUUUUCUUGGGGGAAAGCAGCUUCAUGAAAUGGUGGGGAGUGUAUGAGGACUACAUAGAUGCUUCCAAUAAUUCCUAUGGGUCACCAUUGAUCAGCUUUAUGAAGAACCGUAGUUAUAGACUGUAUGGUUAGAGGGCAAUCCAGUUUGUGUAUUGUGUUUAUUGUAUUGUGAGCAUUCAAUAGAUAAAACUAGAAAGAGCGUGACCUUUUUAUGACAACUUUAGAAACCAGGGGUUAAAAGAGACAUUACAAACUGAAGUUUUUGAGAGGAAACCUCAAGAGUAUACUGGGAAGCCAUGGUGGAACAAGUAGAGAGGAAGCCUCAGAAGGAAGGAGCAAUGGUUGAACCACUUGACAUUGUUGCCUACUACAGGGAGGGUGUAAGAAACAACAUAACCGAGGGAAGAUCUGAACGUUAAACGUUGUCCAAUUAUUAUAAAUGUCUUAUACAUUACGUGUGAAAAUACCAAAAAAAAUUAUAUUCAACAUUUAUGUUUGUAUACAAGCAAUAUUUUGGAUAGUUUGAUAUAAAAAACAAAUGAAGAAAAUGAAGAAAAACAUACAAAUAUAUUUACAAUGGACAAACUUAUACAAUUAGUAUAAAUGUCUUGUAUAUUUAGUACAAAUGUCUCGUACUUUGUAAAAAUAUAAAAAUAUAGUAUUUGACUUUUAUAUAUGUGUGAAAAUGUAAAAAGAAAAAGAAAAAUAGUUAGAGCAUUUGGUACCGUGAGUGAUGACUUCACCUAAAGAAAGGUUAAUGAAUAUUAUGGUCUCGAUGGAAGAGCGACUCCGGUAAAAUAUAUGGAUUAAAUUGAUGCUUUUCUUUUGACGAUGAAGUAGUUGAGUUAUGAAUACGAGGUUUUGCUAACAGCAUUGAAGGCAAGGAUUCCCUAAUAUACUCCAAUUCAUAUUCAAUUUGUAGACCUUCAACUAACUACUCUUGCUAACGAGCAUAUCCAAGUCAAUACAUAAGAUUAAUUAAGAUUAAGUAUUACGUAUGAUAAUUGAAACCCUAUUUAAAUAAAUAAUGACACAUAUAUAAAAAAUAUAUAUAUUUUUAAAAAAAUAAAUAACAAUUUAGAGAAUUUCAUAACUUAGCAUCAAACCUAUUGUAAGAAAGAGUAUUAUACAAUGUAGGGUUUAGGAUCCAAGUCAACCUAAGAUCAAAUUUAAGUUUUAAGAUCAAUUCACAUUCAAAACUAAGGUUUUAAGUUUCAAAAAUAUAUUUCUUAAACCAAUUAAAUGGAAAAAAGAAAAUUACAAAGAAAAUUUCUCCCUCAUCAGUUUCUUUUAUCUUGAAAACUAAAGGAAAUAUAUAUCAAUAUUUGAGAUGGAAAUUCAUAAUCUUAGGUGGUGUUUGUUUUUUUGGCUUUUUGCUGAAAACUAUUUAGUUUUAGAAUUUAGGUUUUUUUUUUUUUUUACUUUUUCAUGACUUAUAAUAAACUUUUUACUAAAUAGAAAAAACCAAAAUAUGUGGUUUUUUCUAAAUAGAAAAAAUAACACAAUGGUUUUUUUUACUUUUUAAUACUUAAUAGAAAUAAAAUACUACAAAAACAAACAUCUUAAUAUUUAAUACUAUUAAGUAUUAAGGUUCUAUUUAGAAUUAAGUAAAAAAACAAACACCACCUUAGAAACACAAAGAACAAAGAGAGUAUGAAGAGACCAUACCAUGAGAGAUUUUCCGAAAGGUUGGUAAACCAUGGUAAUCACCUUUGAGUCUUGCUGAGAAAAACAAACCUUAUUUAUUUUUAUUUUUUUAUCAUUUUUUCUCUUGUGUGGUGUACAUUUAAGAAAAACAAAUCUCAAAAAAAAAAAAAAACACAAACCAAAUAAUGCCAGAAUUUGGGUUGAGAAACACCCAAAAGAUAGUGGCCCAAUACAUGUGCCUAAGAAAAUCUUCAUGAGCCGAUAAACAUAGUCACAAAACUAGUAACAGCCUUGUAGCCAUAGUUGGUGUAGUAUGAGCAAGUGGGGUAUGAAGUAGGUAGGUGAGUAUUGCAAUGAAAUUUCCAGCACUGCUUCCUGAAUUAAGAAAUCACAUACCCAAGUCUUAGUCGUCGUCGUCGUCGUACCGUGUGAGAACCGGGAAGAAUCUUUGCUCGUAGACUGGCUUUUGUAGUCUUUCUUUAACAAUUACAAGUUAUCUGAAUUCCCUUCAUCCUCCUAUAUAAUAUUGUUUUGGUCUUGUUCUUGUUGCAUUGUGGCUAGGCAUCUCCAUGGAAGGAAGGAGGAUGAAUCAAGUUCCUUUGUAUGAAUCAAUUUCUCUGCUCUUUUUUUUUUUCAAUCCUUGAAUCGAAUCAUUGCUUAGUUCUUGCUUUAAUUUCUCCAUUUUCUGUUGGGUCUUUGAUUGCAGGUUUAGCUCUGCAAGAGAACUGGGAAAUUUAAUUGUGACCUCCAAUCUAAUCGACUCUGCUUUGACUAAAAUUCUUGAGCUUCAAAGAGACCAAACAGCCUUGCUUUCCCCCGUUCAAUACAGAGUUUUUUUAUCCAUCUCCCAACUGCACAAUUGUAGCUUUUGUCUCUUCACCUGACUGCACUCAAAACCCUCUUCCUGGACAAGGAGAUUUAGUUCCCUCUCCUCUCUUUGACUUCCUCUGCACCGAAGAAUACAAGUCCGUCUCCAUUAACAGAGCUGCAUUAACCCUCUUUACCUCUCUCCACGAUCAUCUCUCUGGACUAAAAACUCAGGUCAAAAUAUGAUAGUUGUUUUUAUUUUCGUUUCCUUUUUGUUAACAAUUGUGAGACAUGAAACAGCUUGACCAUGAGAUCUCUCUCAUAGAGUCAAACUACCUGAAGAAGAAGAAGACGUUACACAUAUCCAUCUGCGUUGCAUCAUCGCAUUACCCAUUGAUCGGUUGUGAUUCAACUCUUAAUAGGAAGACAGUAGAACUGGUGUUGGUAUCUGUUUUUAGAUCAGCUUAUAUGUAUCUUGUUGCUAAAAAGGGAAUGUUUAGAAGUGAGAUUAAUGGGAUUAUUCUGACAUGGAUUUCAUAUGGUUACCUGUUUUGCAGUUGACUGUGAUUGAAGGUCAAUUAAUCAUCACUGGGCACUCCCUGGGAGGAGCCGUUGCUUCUCUCUUCACCUUAUGCCUGCUAGAUGAAAAUUUAUUAAAACCCAAAUGCCGCCCCUUUUGUAUCACCUUUGGUUCACCCCUCGUCGGCGGCUUUGGCCUCCAACACUCCAUAUGGAAUUCUUUCUUCCUGCAUGUAGUGUCUAACCAAGACCCAGUCCCCGGUCUCUUCCUCCCAUCUGGCAGAGGCAGAUCUACGCCCACAUCCUCCCAUUCACAAACUACCGGUUACAAGCCCUUUGGGACAUAUCUCUUGUGCUCUGAACUUGGUUGUGCUUGUUUUGACAACCCUGAUUUAAUUUUGGAAUUGCUGAAAGUCAUAUCAUCAGAGGUUGCCGGAGGAUUGCAGGAUGUUGAUUAUGGGGAGAUUUUAAGAAACCUCAAGGAGAGGGCAAUCUGCAAGGGACUUCCGCAGGUGGGUGAAAGGUUUGCAAAUCCAUUUUCAGCUGGGAUCAUCAUGGAACUUGAGACAAUUGGAUUUAAUCAAACAAAGGUAAACAGCUUUCUCCCAUCUAAUGAUGUUAUGGAACAUGGUUUACACCUCAUUAAAUACUGCAACAACUGCCCUAUUUAGAUUUACCUUCUUGUUCUUUGGGAUUUUCCAUAACUAGACUCAUUUUUUAAUUUCAUGGCAGCUGCUGCAGCAUAACAUUGAUAUCGAGACUGUGAUAAGCGCAAUGGAAGCGGAAGCAAGAAACCUAACCCAGAAAAAUAAAGCUUCCGAUGCCAAGAAACUGAAUGAAAUAAAAAUAGACAUGACCCGGCUAGAAUUGUAUAAGAAGAAUUCGAACAUGGGUUACUACGAUUGCUUCAAAAACCAGGGGUCUAAAAGGGACAUCCACGUUGAACAGUUUAGGGUAAACCUCACAGGGUACUGGGAAGGCAUGGUUGCACAAAUACAGAGGAAGCCUCAUAAGGAAGGAGCAACAUUUCGAACCCGUUGGCUCUAUGCAGGGACGGUUUAUAGAAGAAUGGUUGAACCACUGGACAUUGCUGCCUUCUACAGAGAGGGUAGAAAAGACUACAUGAAUAAAAGAUCUGCACAUUACAAGCUGUUGCAGGAAUGGUAUGAGGAAGAUGUGAAACCCCCCUCUAGAGAUAAGCUUGAUUCCAAGAAGCAAAAGGUGUCCAGUAUCCUAACUGAGGAUUCUUGCUUUUGGGCACAUGUGGAGGAGGCUAUCUUGUCAUGCGAAUUGCUCAAGAGUGAAAACUGUAAUCUUGAGGAGGGAAAAUCAUCAUGGGAUAAUCUGGUUAAGUUCGAGGAGUAUGUAAUGGAACAGAUUGACAACUAUGCAGUGUCCCCUGAGAUUUUCUUGGAGAAAAGCAGCUUCAUGAAAUGGAGGGGACUGUAUGAGGGCUACAUAGAUACUCGCAGUAAUUCCCAUAGCUCGCCAUUGAUCAGCUUUAUGAAGAAUCGUAGUUAUAGACAAUAUGGAUAGAGGGGUAAUCCAGUUUGUGUGUUGUGUGUAUUGUUUUGUGAGCAUUCAAUGGAUAGAACUAGAAAGAGUGUGACCUUUUCCUUUUUUUUUUCAGUUGCUGCCCAUAUUCUCAGCACUAUUUUCUUCCUUCUUUUCCUCAGUUUUUUUGUUAAGAAAUGAAUAUUAUGAUGUUGCCGGGAUGCACUUUCAUUUUUGUUCCAUUACAUUGUGUUUUAUUCAUAUCCUAAACAAAUAAAUGUAAACAAGAAAAUCAAAUGAGACUUCAAAGAGUCUGUUCCUUUUAAAGCAAGGGAAAAAAAGGACAUGUUUGUUUACUUCCACAGCUGGGUAGAUUCAACUCCACCAAAAUUGGCAACAACUUCCCAUUGAAAAAUUCCUUUUAAGCUUGAAUGACAUAAAACUAGAUAUGUUCCAGCUAGAAUGGUACAAGAAAGAAAUCAAAAGAUGAGCACAAUGGGUUAUUAUGACAGCUUUAGAAACCUGGGGUGUAAAAGAGACAUUAAAAUGGAACCGAGGGGAAGACAUUGUAGAACAAGUAAAGAGGAAGCCUCACCAGGAAGGGCAGCUUUGCAAACCCUCUGGCUCUGUACAGGAACGAAUUAUAGAAAGAUGGUUGAACCACUUGACAUUGCUGCCUACCACAGAGAGGGUGGAAGAAACUACAUAACCAAUGGAGGAUGUAAACAUUACACGCUAUUAGAGCAAUGAUGCAAUGAAGAGAAGGGGACUUUGUCUUCCAAUAAUUUAAGAAAAUAAAACCAAAUAAUGCCAGAAUUUGGGUUGAGAAACACCCAAAAGAUAGUGGCCCAAUAUGAAGUAGUCACAAAACUAGUAACAGCCUUGUGGCCAUAGUUGGUGUAGUAUGAGCAAGUGGGGUAUGAAGUAGGUAGGUGAGUAUUGCAAUGAAAUUUCCAGCACUGCUUCCUGAAUUAAGAAAUCACAUACUCAAGUCUUAAUCGUUGUCAUCAUACCGUGUGAGAACCGAGGAAGAAUCUUUGCUCUUAGACUGGAUUUUGUAGUCUUUCUUUAACAAUUACAAGUUAUCUGAAUUCCCUUCAUCCUCCUAUAUAAUAUUGUUUUUGGUCUUGUUCUUGUUGCAUUGUGGCUAGGCAUCUCCAUGGGAGGAAGGAGGAUGAAUCAAGUUCCUUUGUAUGAAUCAAUUUCUCUGCUCUUUUUUUUUUCAAUCCUUGAAUCGAAUCAUUGCUUAGUUCUUGCUUUAAUUUCUCCAUUUUCUGUUGGGUCUUUGAUUGCAGGUUUAGCUCUGCAAGAAAACUGGGAAAUUUAAUUGUGACCUCCAAUCUAAUCGACUCUGCUUUGACUAAAAUUCUUGAGCUUCAAAGAGACCAAACAGCCUUGCCUUCCCCCGUUCAAUACAGAGUUUUUUAUCCAUCUCCCAACUGCACAAUUGUAGCUUUUGUCUCUUCACCUGACUGCACUCAAAACCCUCUUCCUGGACAAGGAGAUUUAGUUCCCUCUCCUCUCUUUGACUUCCUCUGCACCGAAGAAUACAAGUCCGUCUCCAUUAACAGAGCUGCAUUAACCCUCUUUACCUCUCUCCACGAUCAUCUCUCUGGACUAAAAACUCAGGUCAAAAUAUGAUAGUUGUUUUUAUUUUCGUUUCCUUUUUGUUAACAAUUGGGAGACAUGAAACAGCUUGACCAUGAGAUCUCUCUCAUAGAGUCAAACUACCUGAAGAAGAAGAAGACGUUACACAUAUCCAUCUGCGCUGCAUCAUCGCAUUACCCAUUGAUCGGUUGUGAUUCAACUCUUAAUAGGAAGACAGUAGAACUGGUGUUGGUAUCUGUUUUUAGAUCAGCUUAUAUGUAUCUUGUUGCUAAAAAGGGAAUGUUUAGAAGUGAGAUUAAUGGGAUUAUUCUGACAUGGAUUUCAUAUGGUUACCUGUUUUGCAGUUGACUGUGAUUGAAGGUCGAUUAAUCAUUACUGGGUACUCGAUGGGA
RNAcentral lists this long non-coding RNA (10331 nucleotides) under Vitis vinifera (wine grape). RNAcentral's name for it is "long non-coding RNA (VVIN_LNC004863)". The record is from RNAcentral. Lineage: Eukaryota; Viridiplantae; Streptophyta; Magnoliopsida; Vitales; Vitaceae.